This is a non-coding RNA of Brienomyrus brachyistius, 498 nucleotides long. Lineage: Eukaryota; Metazoa; Chordata; Actinopteri; Osteoglossiformes; Mormyridae. The record is from the annotation of a RefSeq genome assembly.
AUGGGCGGGACCAGCCAGGUGCUCCGUAGAACGCUUAAUGACGGAAUGGAUUUAAGCACUGAGCUCCAUCGGGACAUUGCGAAACCCGUUCCCGAACCUGAACCUCCUGCCCCGCUGAGACCGGCUUCUCCUGGUAAAGACUCCAACAGCAAGACUGUGGUACAGCAGCCUGUGUCUGACACUGUGUCUGACACAGACUCUGUGAGCCUGCAGUGUACGAUAGAGACUGGGAGCUGUGCAGGAGAACACAGUGUUUACUGGUUCAGACAUGGAUCAGGAGAAUCCCUUCCUGGAGUCAUUUACAGCCACGGAAACAGGAGUGAUGAGUGUGAGAAGAGCCCUGAGGCUGGAUCUCCUACACGGAGCUGCGUCUACAGCCUCCCCAAGGGGAACCUCAGCCUCUCCGAUGCUGGGACUUACUACUGCGCCGUGGCCAUGUGUGGGGAGAUGCUGUUUGGCAAUGGGACCAAGCUGGAUAUAGAUGGUAACACCCAGUGA